UAGGGAAUCUUCCGCAAUGGGCGAAAGCUUGACGGAGCAACGCCGCGUGAGUGAUGAAGGUCUUCGGAUCGUAAAACUCUGUUAUUAGGGAAGAACAAAUGUGUAAGUAACUAUGCACGUCUUGACGGUACCUAAUCAGAAAGCCACGGCUAACUACGUGCCAGCAGCCGCGGUAAUACGUAGGUCCCGAGCGUUGUCCGGAUUUAUUGGGCGUAAAGCGAGCGCAGGCGGUUAGAAAAGUCUGAAGUGAAAGGCAGUGGCUCAACCAUUGUAGGCUUUGGAAACUGUUUAACUUGAGUGCAGAAGGGGAGAGUGGAAUUCCAUGUGUAGCGGUGAAAUGCGUAGAUAUAUGGAGGAACACCGGUGGCGAAAGCGGCUCUCUGGUCUGUAACUGACGCUGAGGCUCGAAAGCGUGGGGAGCGAACAGG
This 428-nucleotide ribosomal RNA is filed under the name Bacteroidota bacterium. Its description in RNAcentral is "Bacteroidetes bacterium partial 16S ribosomal RNA". It matches the Rfam family "Bacterial small subunit ribosomal RNA", at positions 355 to 776 of the family's 1533-position model. The record is from RNAcentral. Lineage: Bacteria; Pseudomonadati; Bacteroidota.